UAUUAAAAAAUUCAUACGUUUGUACUGUUAAAAAUUGACGUGAUUAACAAAAUAAUCAGAUUAACAUUGUGUGUGCCAUAUGUAUAUCAUGCUAAUGUAAGGAGACUAAUUUUUAAUAAUAGAAAUAAAUAAAUAUUUUAUAA
This 143-nucleotide microRNA precursor is filed under the name Gossypium hirsutum (cotton). RNAcentral describes it as "MIR7502 microRNA precursor family". It matches the Rfam family "MIR7502 microRNA precursor family". The record is from Rfam by way of RNAcentral. Lineage: Eukaryota; Viridiplantae; Streptophyta; Magnoliopsida; Malvales; Malvaceae.